Molecule: ribosomal RNA, 47 nt
Filed under: Fusarium solani
Lineage: Eukaryota; Fungi; Ascomycota; Sordariomycetes; Hypocreales; Nectriaceae
Description: partial 28S ribosomal RNA
Source: RNAcentral
GACCCCGAAUCAGGUAGGAAUACCCGCUGAACUUAAGCAUAUCAUAA